Molecule: ribosomal RNA, 403 nt
Filed under: bacterium
Lineage: Bacteria
Also listed under: 2 other names
Description: partial 16S ribosomal RNA
Rfam family: Bacterial small subunit ribosomal RNA
Source: RNAcentral
UGGGGAAUAUUGCACAAUGGAGGGAACUCUGAUGCAGCGACGCCGCGUGAACGAAGAAGGCUUUCGAGUCGUAAAGUUCUUUUAUAUGGGAAGAUAAUGAUGGUACCAUAAGAAAAAGCCCCGGCUAACUACGUGCCAGCAGCCGCGGUAAUACGUAGGGGGCUAGCGUUGUCCGGAAUCACUGGGCGUAAAGGGUUCGCAGGCGGAAAUGCAAGUCAGGUGUAAAAGGCAGUAGCUUAACUACUGUAAGCAUUUGAAACUGCAUAUCUUGAGAAGAGUAGAGGUAAGUGGAAUUUUUAGUGUAGCGGUGAAAUGCGUAGAUAUUAAAAAGAAUACCGGUGGCGAAGGCGACUUACUGGGCUCAUUCUGACGCUGAGGAACGAAAGCGUGGGUAGCAAACAGG